GGAGACUGCCGGUGAUAAACCGGAGGAAGGUGGGGACGACGUCAAGUCAUCAUGGCCCUUACGAGUAGGGCUACACACGUGCUACAAUGGCGCAUACAGAGGGCAGCCAACUUGCGAAAGUGAGCGAAUCCCAAAAAGUGCGUCGUAGUCCGGAUUGGAGUCUGCAACUCGACUCCAUGAAGUCGGAAUCGCUAGUAAUCGUGGAUCAGAAUGCCACGGUGAAUACGUUCCCGGGCCUUGUACACACCGCCCGU
RNAcentral lists this ribosomal RNA (254 nucleotides) under Vibrio parahaemolyticus. RNAcentral describes it as "partial 16S ribosomal RNA". It matches the Rfam family "Bacterial small subunit ribosomal RNA", at positions 1144 to 1397 of the family's 1533-position model. The record is from RNAcentral. Lineage: Bacteria; Pseudomonadati; Pseudomonadota; Gammaproteobacteria; Vibrionales; Vibrionaceae.